UUAGGAAUAUUCGUCAAUGGGGGAAACCCUGAACGAGCAAUGCCGCGUGAAUGAUGAAGGCCCUCUGGGUUGUAAAAUUCUGUUGUUUGGAAAGAACUGUAAGAUUAGGAAAUGAAUCUUACUUGACGGUACCAAGCGAGAAAGCUCCGGCUAACUACGUGCCAGCAGCCGCGGUAAUACGUAGGGAGCGAGCGUUAUCCGGAUUUAUUGGGCGUAAAGCGUGCGUAGGCGGUUUGUUAAGUCUGAAAUUAAAGUCUGAGGCUCAACCUCAGUUCGUUUCAGAAACUGGCAGACUUGAGUAUGGUAGAGGUAAAUGGAAUUUCUAGUGUAGCGGUAAAAUGCGUAGAUAUUAGAAGGAACACCAGUGGCGAAGGCGAUUUACUGGGCCAUUACUGACGCU
RNAcentral lists this ribosomal RNA (400 nucleotides) under uncultured bacterium. RNAcentral's name for it is "bacterial SSU rRNA". It matches the Rfam family "Bacterial small subunit ribosomal RNA", at positions 355 to 747 of the family's 1533-position model. The record is from RNAcentral.